UACGUAGGGCGCAAGCGUUGUCCGGAAUUAUUGGGCGUAAAGAGCUCGUAGGCGGUUUGUCGCGUCUGCUGUGAAAACCUAAGGCUCAACCUUGGGCUUGCAGUGGGUACGGGCAGACUAGAGUGCGGUAGGGGUGACUGGAAUUCCUGGUGUAGCGGUGGAAUGCGCAGAUAUCAGGAGGAACACCGGUGGCGAAGGCGGGUCUCUGGGCCGAUACUGACGC
Molecule: ribosomal RNA, 223 nt
Filed under: uncultured bacterium
Lineage: Bacteria
Description: partial 16S ribosomal RNA
Rfam family: Bacterial small subunit ribosomal RNA
Source: RNAcentral